This is a non-coding RNA of Phascolarctos cinereus (koala), 1250 nucleotides long. The record is from RefSeq and is a predicted model, not a curated record. Lineage: Eukaryota; Metazoa; Chordata; Mammalia; Diprotodontia; Phascolarctidae.
CUCUGCGCGCAGGCGCAGCAGGGAUCGGCGGACGGGGGCUUCCCUGCUUGAAGCGCCGGUGGCGUACCUCAGCUUUGGGUCGGAAGAGGCCUGAAGGAGAGUCAUUGAAGUCCAGUGGCAAGAUGAAAGUGGCAGUGGCCCAGGAUGCAGUGGAUAACCUUGGCAUCUUCAAUGUCUGACCAACCUCUAAGCACCCCACCAGCUUGGGCUGUUGGAACAAAUUAUCCUUAUCUGCCCAUUCCACCGGGUAAAGUCUUCACAUGCCAUGGGAUAGAUGUCCCCCUGACCCUUGAAGGUAUCUGAGGCCUGUCAGUCACCCUCAACCUUGUUUAGCAGGUCUGUCAACUGUUUACUGGGGAGUGGCUGCUGUGCAGGCUAUAGCUUCUUGGAGCCACAGAUAAUGAAGCUGAAGCCCUUUGGAGAAUGGUGGAAUGGUGUCUUGGCUGCUCUCCUACUGGACUUCAUCAGCCACUCCAUCCCCUGGCAUCUCAAACUAUAGAGCACCAGGAAUAAUCCACAUCAGGUAUAUGACCAGGGGAGGACAUUGAUGCUAUCAAGAGGUUUAGAUUAAAGUCAUAGGAUUAGAGCUAGAAAGGACCUUUGAGAGGUCCUCACUUAACUGGUGGAAAAGCUGAGGCCAAGAGAUAUGAAAUGACCUGCCCAAUGUCAUACAUUAUUCCGAUUCAAACCGAGGCCCUCUGACUCCAAAAUCUGCUAUAUUAUAAUGCCUCCAUAGCCAGUAGCAUUGAUUCUGACUAAGCUGACCAAAUCUACUUCAUUGAUCAGGAGCCUUCUGAUAUCAGAAAUGUUCAUAACUAUGAGAUCUUUUGCUAACAGGAUGCUAGCUUUCUUUUAAAUAGGUAAAAUUAUCUCAGUUUUGUAAAUGAAAACAAAGUUGUGACUUGUCCAAGGUCACAUUCAUCAAGUCAGAGGUUCUUAACUAGGACUUCACAAAAUGCCAAGAAGUCUGAAGAUUUCAGAAAGUCUAUGAACUUAGAUGGGAAAAUAAUUACAUCUUUACUUUUGCAAAUCUCUUACUGACAUUUAGCAUUUCCUAAAGUUAUUUCUUCCUAAAGAAUUUUUUUAAAAAAUUCUGAGGUGGGGACCAUGCCACAAAAAAAGUAAGAACACCUAUAGUAAGUGGCAAAGGAAGGACAAGAACCCACAUCUCUCCCUCAUGUAGUGUUCUUUUCAUUUCACCAUAUUGAAUUAUAAAUAGUAUAGUUAGUGAUCUUAGCCCAGUCCCAUUC